RNAcentral lists this long non-coding RNA (361 nucleotides) under Malus domestica (apple). RNAcentral describes it as "long non-coding RNA (MDOM_LNC004544)". The record is from RNAcentral. Lineage: Eukaryota; Viridiplantae; Streptophyta; Magnoliopsida; Rosales; Rosaceae.
CUAUACGGCAAUAUACUGCACAUAAGUCGGAACCACUGAAAAGGUCUGUAGGACAAGAUUGGGUGUACUAUAGUUAUGCUCAAUUUUACUCUCUCAUAAUAGCCGGGCGAUAAAUCGCUAGUCACCUACGAGUCGGAACCAUAAUUAAGGUCUGCACGACAAGACUGUGCACUUAAGUUGGAUCCAAUAUGAGCAUAUAGUGCGGGAGGUGACAUAAAUAAACAGGCAUGUACUUCAUAUCUCUGGCUAAAUCACAAUCACUGUAGGUGCAAUUGUAUGAGCUCAACAUCAAUCCAUCACAUACCACAUCAUCGAUGAUUCACAUAGCCAAACAUAACUUACCUGAACUUACCUGUGCCUC